GGGCGGGUGGCGAAAUUGGUAGACGCGCUAGUUUUAGGAACUAGUUCCGUAAGGAAUGGAGGUUCGAGUCCUCUCCCGCCCACCA
Molecule: transfer RNA, 85 nt
Filed under: bacterium
Lineage: Bacteria
Description: tRNA-Leu
Rfam family: tRNA
About the family: Transfer RNA (tRNA) molecules are approximately 80 nucleotides in length. Their secondary structure includes four short double-helical elements and three loops (D, anti-codon, and T loops).
Source: RNAcentral